Molecule: long non-coding RNA, 683 nt
Organism: Cicer arietinum (chickpea)
Lineage: Eukaryota; Viridiplantae; Streptophyta; Magnoliopsida; Fabales; Fabaceae
Source: RefSeq, a predicted model, not a curated record
AGUAAUAUUGUUCUUCUGCAUGAAAAAGUUGGUUGAAUCUGUCUUGAAUAAAGUCAUAGAGGAGUUUGAGCAUCGCAUUGCAAGCCAAGAUGAACAGAAAUGCAGUGUCCUAAAGUGAUGGAUUUGCAACAAAGUUUACUAUGCCAAGAUUCCUGCGUAAUAAAGAAAGAGGAAUGCAUCCAUAAAAAUCAUGAUGCUGAAUUUGAGGAAUCACAUAAACAACUUCUGAAGCAACUAAUGCUCUUUGAUGAACGACAGAAAGAUAUUCGAGUUGGGAGCAACAACAAUAUUAUUAAUCAAUUUAACUUUGCAAUUUUUCAAGUUUUUGUUAGUAAAAUCUUGCCAUCAUAGUGUUUUUUGUUGGAUUUACCAGUAGAGCCUUAUGAGGAAGAGUUUAGGCUUGGUUUUAGGGGUGUGAUCGUUUUUUGCAAUGUUCUUAACAAAGUUCAACCUGGUAAUGUAUCCAAGAGAGGAUGCUGCUAUGAAAAUUCAGAAGCACGUACGCAGGCAUGCAUCUUGGAAAGCCUAUAUUAAACACCAUACAUCAAUGCUUACUUUGCGAACAGCUUUGAGGGCAAUCUCUACCUGUAAGGAGUUCAAUUUUAGUUUUUUAUGAAAUUAGUUUGCAGUUUAUCAUAAUAAAUAUUAAGAAACUCAUUUUGGCUUUUGUUGAAAGUUUAUUG